GGGUGCACAAGAGGGUGAUCGACCUCGUCAGCUCCCCCGACGUCGUCAAGCAGAUCACCUCGAUCACCAUUGAGCCCGGCGUCGAGGUCGAAGUGACCAUCAGCGACCAGUAGUUAUGCUACCCCAUGAUAUGUGCCUUUAAAUCUUUUUACAAGGGUGGAGAGACACCAGCGUACCAAGAUAUUUUGAAACUUUCUGUAGUAUGAGAACUGGGUUUUGUAUGACUAGGUUCUUUGCUUCGUGAUUCUAAGUGCCUACUGUCCUAAAUUAUCUGUCAAUUUUCGUUCGUUGCCCUGUUGUGUGUGCCGGGUUGAAUGUUUAUACAUGGAUCGCUAUUUAUCUAUGAGAUUUGGUAACGUUUCCUUGAUAUCUUCAGUGAUUUGUGUUUGACAGUGUGGAAGAUUUUCUGAACUGUAUUACAUUGAAAUAUACAAAACAGC
This 440-nucleotide long non-coding RNA is filed under the name Triticum aestivum (bread wheat). RNAcentral's name for it is "long non-coding RNA (TAES_LNC021376)". The record is from RNAcentral. Lineage: Eukaryota; Viridiplantae; Streptophyta; Magnoliopsida; Poales; Poaceae.